RNAcentral lists this long non-coding RNA (41351 nucleotides) under Fragaria vesca (wild strawberry). RNAcentral's name for it is "long non-coding RNA (FVES_LNC000025)". Lineage: Eukaryota; Viridiplantae; Streptophyta; Magnoliopsida; Rosales; Rosaceae. The record is from RNAcentral.
UUUAUUCGGGUAUUAUUUUUCGGGGUGUUUUAAUUUUUGGAAGAUUGGGUUAUAAGUGGUGUGGACCGGUUUGGGGUGUGAGGCCCAAACCCUUUUUCUCUUCUCCCUCUCUCCCGUUUUCUCUCUCUCUCCCCGAUUUUUUUUCCUUCCUCCCGCUGCAGUCCGUCCGGCCGUCCUCCUGCCGCCGUCCGGCCACCAGCUGCCGCCGCUCCACCCCAGUUCGGACCCCCAUCUCCUCCUCUCCCUCCCCGGCCUAGCCCCCGAGCCUCUAACCCGCCGGAAGAGGAGAAAACCCGCCGGAAACGCCGGGAAGCAUUUCGCCGGAACUCCCUCCUCCGGCCACCAAUCCGGGCAAGCUUGGUACGGAUUUGUAGCCCUCCAACCCAGCAGCCUUGCCCUAAAAUGACUCACUCCCUCUUGAGCUAGGUAAGGAGAAAUUUGAGGUGGAAGUUUUAUGGUGUUUUUGAUGUUUUUAGUCGAUUGCCCUAGUUAGGCUUGGAAUUGGUGUUUGUGCUAGUUAUGAAAGUUGUAGAGUAUGAUGAGAGGAAGAUGUUGUUAAAAUUUCAUAGGAAUUGGAGGUCGCCGGAAUUGGCCUCCGGCCGCCGCCGCCGAUUGGGAGAUUUUAAUGUUGUUAAAUUUGGAAUAUUAAGGGGAGUUUAUUGAAGUGAGUUAUGGAAUUUUUGGAUGAGUUUUGGAUAGGUUUAUGAAUUUCCGAAGUUAGUAUUUUUGGCGGUUAAUUUAUGUAGAAUCCGGCCGUUGGAUUAAGUUGUUUAAUCUGUGGGAAGGUGUAGUUACAGCUGCUGGUUCUAGGGUUGAAAUGUGGACCAUUUCAAAGUUAGGCAAUGAUGAGCGUGUUAAUGGCUCUCGGUUAAUUUCUGCCUAUUUUGUGUAACUAUUGGAAUUUCGGCUGGGAACUUAAUAUUAUAUUUGGAACAGGUCGUGAGGAGGCUCGAGCUGACGAGGCCCCAGAUCGACAUCAGGCUUAGGCCUAAUUAGUGAGUGGACUUUUGUUUUAAAUAAUGUGCGUGCGAAAUAACUUAUGUUGUUGGAGAAUAACCGAAAUUGAGAAUUUCGGUGAGUGUAUAUAUAUAUAUCCAUAUGUGGAUGAUUAUGAGAAUAAUAUGUAUAUGAGAGAAUGCUAGCUAGCUAUACGUGCUUUUCCACCAUACUGAAGUAAAAUUCCAUUAUGGUGCAACGUGAGGGUUAGACGCAAUCGUUAUAGCCCUAUAUAAAAAUAAUAAUUUAUAUAGGGGAUAUGCGCGUAUAUUUAUACACCGUCUUUUCCACCAUAAUGAGGUAAAAUGUCAUUAUGGUGCAACGUGAGCGUUAGACGCAAGCGUUGUAGCCUUGUGUAAAUUUACUAUUUGUUUUAGUUGUUUCAAGAAAAUUCAUACAAGGGAUAUGACGAGUGUAAUACAUACAUAUUUUAUUUUAGCCUGAGAGGCUGCAUUUUAUUGAGCGUUUUGAGCUGUCGCAUGCAGCAUAUUUUCUUUUCUAUGGAAAAGUAAAAAUUGGGAAAGCAUAAAGAAUUAUUUCCUUUAUUUUUUAUUUUUGUCCACUCACUCUAACGUUAUUAAAUGUUUUCCCCUGGGCCUUUCGUUCUAAAUUGCCCAGCCUGCAGAGUUCGGAUUGGAUCUAGUAGGAGGCGAGGCAUAGUCACCCGCAUUUCUGCCAGUUUUCAUCAGUAGGUUACCUGUUCAACCUACUCGUGUUUUCUUGCUUCCGCUUGUGUUUAGUAGCUCUGAAUACUUUAGGAUUAUUGUAUAUUAUGUGAUGUUUGGAAGUGUUGAAUUAAGAGUGAAAUUUGGAAUUUUCGAGUUAGGGUUGUCCAUCUGCAAGGGAGAUUUUCUCAAUCUUUUCAGUAAAUUUUCCUUGGAGGUGGUCCCCGCACGACUUACUUCGGGUUUCAGGGUGAAAUUCGGGGUGGGUCGUGUCAGAUGAAUAAAGCCAAUCUCCUUGCAUAUGACUACAUUGAAGACUACUGGAAGACUACAUUCUACAAGAAAACAUAUGAGCUUCCUAUCUGUCCAGUUCCUCAUCUGGAUAGACCUAACAUCUUGAGUUUUGGAGAUUCCGCAUUGCAGCCUCCCAAGACUAGAAGACCACCUGGAAGACCAAAGUCGAGAAGAAUCAGAUCUUUUGGUGAACAAUGCAAGGAGAUCACUUGCUCGCGUUGUCACACAUUAGGCCACCACAACAGCAGGACAUGCACCAAUCCUAUUUGAGUACAACAUGUGUGUUGUAACGAGAACUUUUUAGAUGUUUUUUUGGCGGUGCAGCGGCACGCUGCCCUUUAGGAUCAUUGAUAUACUUUCAUCAUUUAGUAUGGUCUUUUUGUGGUGCAGCGACAUACGUCCUUUUUUCGGGUUUAUUUUGUUUCAGAUUUUGUUUCGUUAUAAAAAACAAAAGAAUUCAAGGAUUUUUUAUCAAUAAAUGUAGUAUCAGAAUAUUUUUGGAUUUUGUGGUUCAGCAGGUGUAGUAGCUGACAUAUAACUAGUCCAGUCUGUGUAGUAGCAGCUCUUUAACAUUUGCAUUUUUUUUGGAUUUUUUUGUGAUUCAGCAGGUGUGGUAUAGACUUAUAACUAGUCCAGUUUGUGUAGUAGCAGCUCUUUAACAUUUGCAUUUUUUUGGAUUUUUUGUGAUCCUUGUGGUAGCAACUGUGGUAUAUCAAAGGAAAUAUGUCAAUCUAUAAAGAGCCUUUCAAUUUCAUACAACAAAACAAAGGAAUGUUGUAAUGAUAUGCUUCAAGAAAAACCAGAAACCUAAACACCAAAUACAGUAGCACAAUCUCUCUCGAGAAGCUGACGAAGGGAUCAUGGUUGUUAUAUAACUUAGCUCGGUCACGCCAGAGUCCUCUAUAACAAUCAGCAAACAUCACACUGACCGCAGCUCCUGUGUCCACGAGGGCCCUAUGAUACCUGUAGUGAUCCACUUGGACAUUGAUUAUGAAGGGUUCAUUGUGAUGGCAACUGAUCGUAUCUUCCCUCUUGUAAAAUGACACCUGGUCCCAUGUUGUUGGGGUGGUGGUGACACCUCUUUCCAGUUCAAGAAUCUCCAAGUGGCUCGUGCAUUGCCUCAAUUUUUGCCGAAGGCUGACGAGGAGGGAGUCACGGGGCGCCACCAUGUAUGGUUAAGAUCUGUCCGUGAACCUCAAUGGCAUUGGUUCCCAUGGCGGGAGUGCAGUACUGAUGAAGUUGGCCAUUACGAAUCAAGUGCUCUAUGGCAUUGCGGAGGCCAUGGUACAUCUCAGUGGCGUGGCCGUUGUCAUCAUGAUAAGCACAAUAUUUGUUCUUUGUUGGGCGCCGGGGCUUUUUGGGAUACUUGCUCUUAGGUGGCGGGGGAAUGAGAUCUUUGUGCCUGACCCAUAUAUCCUCAUAUGUAGUGGUUAAGGCUGUGUGGACCUCGUAACGAGGUGGUGGGGAGCGACGUUGCUGCUGUUGGGGACUCUGCUCCCAGGACCGAUAAGGAUGGUCCCGUCCCCGCUACCCAUUGUGGCGACGGUCUGAAUUGCGCCCCUGGUUGUUGUCACAGGAGCUGCUUGCUUUUGUCUUGCCCUCGGUCGUAAUGGUCAUACUUUUGUUGGGAUUGCUGCUUGGGGGGUGGGGCUGGGAGUGCUAAUGUGGUAGUUGGGUUAGAAUGUCCAAAGGUGGCAAACUCGGCACGUGCCCAGGGGACAGCAAGGUCCAUCAAGGCAUCGUAUGACCCUGGAGGGUUCCUGUUAAUCUCCAUUAGGAAGCUGCCGGGAAGCAAAGCUUGUUCAGCGACCUGGGGCUCUAAGUUGUGACAGCGUGCCGUGGCUGAUUGCCACCGGGACAAUAACUCAUGGAGUCCUUCACCCUCUUUUUGCUUGAUGUGGAACAAGGCAUCCACAUUGCGGUAGAUGCUGGAAUGGAGUAUGAAGCGGUUGAGGAAGCGUUCCGAGAGCUGGUUGAAAUUGUCAAUGGAGUUGGGAGGCAAGUUGAGAAACCAACUAAGCGCUUCAUCUGAGAGGGUCUCUUGGAAGGCAUGACAAGCCAUAGCAUCUGUGUACCGAGUGGAAUUGCAUAACGAGAGGAAUGUUUCAAGGUGAAGAUGAGGGCCUCCGGCGCCCUUAUACUUGUCCACUUUGAAAGGCUUGGCCUCGGGUGGCCUCUUUUCCAUUUGCACCUGUGGCGUAAAGGGGCUUGGGCGGUGGCCAUAUCCCGAGAAUAGAGGUCGCUGGCUCCUGCGACUCUCAACUCUUUCAAUUCGCGAGGCCAACUGAGUGACAUAAUUGCUGAGCUGGAGGAGAAGUCGAGUUUGCAUGUCGAGAGGUGGGGUAGCACUGUUAGCAGAGUUGAGAUUAGGGAGGGGUGGAUCAGAUGGCAUAGGCUGGUUUAGUAGGGGAAUGGAUUCGUUACUAAUUGUGGAUGGUUGUGGGGUUGGGAGUGGAAAGGAUGGGUGGGUGAGUGGAUGAGUGACAUAGAUAAUCUGGUUGGGGCCUCCCGAGAUCAUGGAACUACUCUGUCCUUGGUUAGGAAAAAGAGAUGUCAAGGUGGCGUCCGGGGUGGGAGUGACCCUUGCUGCCCAAUCCAGACUUUCAUUAUAGUUGUUGCGGUGAUCUAGAGUGGCGCGGAGUAGGAAUUAUUCCUUUUCCAGUUCGGCGAUACGAACCCGAUACGCUUCAGCUUCUGCUUUUUCCUUAGCUGCUUGCUCUCGGAACGCGUGGAAGUCUUUUUUCAAAAUUUCAAGGGCCGUGGCGGCAUCAGGGUGGUUAAUGGGGGCCGCGGUAGCGGUAGUUUGGUUAUGGGAUGUGUCUCCAGAUUGGAAAAGUUCUUUUUCUAUCUGCGUCCCAGGUUCGUUUGGGUCAUCCACAAUUUCUACCAUCCUGUUAAAAGUUAAAUGGGAGUUCCAUAAGAGGGGCCCCUCCUUCUAACGCCAACUGUUUCUACCUCUUCCGUGAACACGGGACGAGAGGCCGAAUCCUUCGCUCCGGGUCCUGUAACUGCACAAGCAACAAUGCGUCAGGAGUCGAGACUGGGAUGGCCCAGUCUUCGACUCUCCGAUGCUUAAGUCAGCGUUUGAUUGCUACUUGUAUAGUACGGGAGUAUGGGAGGAGUAGUAGAACUUACCUCUUUUAGGAAUUCGUGCCUGUUUUAUAGGCUAGUGUUGGGGGUUUUGUCAUUAGUUCCCGAUGUGGGACUGUUUCGUGGUACUGUUCAGUCAUUUCCCUUUCAGGGGCGUUUAGCUGCUUCAUAGUGGGUUUGGCAUGUGUAUUGCUGUUAUGCUCCCACUCUUUGGGUACCCACAGAAGGUCUGCCGGUGAUGGCUUGGCCGGAAUGGCUUUCGACGAGUGGGUAAUGACACGGCAUUCUAGGCAUGGCCAAGUGUUUUGGCUAUGUAUUAACAUUUUAAACAACAAAAACCUAAACACUCCAAAUACAGUAGCAGCAUUGCUAACCAAUGUAAUCAAGAGCAUCACAUCUGAAGAUCACAAAAUAUCAAGAGACAUCAUGCCUAUACUCUCCUCAAGUACGAAAACUACAGAACAACGUAAUUAUAUUUAUCCAUAUGAUAAAACAAUAGUCGACCGCACAAUUGAUUAAUCAGCAAUAUCCAAAAAAACAUGACCUACUAAACAGAGAAAAAUUGUAAUCCUAAUGAGUUCAUAAUCUCAAAAUAAACAGCAAUACGCAGUAGCAGCCCUCAUAUGCAAACAUGAUAGGAGCACAAAGUGUGACGUUCUUAAUAUGUUUAUACCCUUUAUUUACCCUUUGUUAACUCCUAUUUAGUUGUUUUAGCUUUAUAUUUGUGUUUAAUGUAGAAUAAUUGCUUAACGUAGAAAUAUGUAGGUUUUAGUGUUAGAAUACAUAGUAUUUUCGGAUUUGAAUAAUUUGGUGUUGAAAUUGUGCUAAGUGUUGGAAAUCCUUGUUUACUCAGGAUUCCUAUCUUGAUCAGGAUUCCAUCUUUCCUCUUUCCUAGUUUCUAAUUUUCUUAUUUCUAUUUCAGGAAAGUCUAAACCCGUGUUGACCGGGAAAUGUUUUCCUGACUCAUGAGGGAAAGGUGGCCGGCAACUAGGAGUUCCUGCUUGAGCUAGGAGAAGUACAAUCCGAGAUAUGUAUGGAAGAUGCCGUGAGAUUUCCCAAGUCACCAAGGAAAGAGACCGUGCGGCCCAAGAGAGAAGGUUUUCCAAGUUCAAGAUGGUUUUGUCAUUCCUUAAUACAUAAGGAUUACUUGAAGACCAAGAGAGGAAGUUAAAUCCAACUUGGACUUGGUUUUGCCGAUUUAAUAAGGAUUCCUUGUGCUUGAGGAAUUCUUGGAGAUCAAGUCUUGUUACUCUAUAUAUAGGGCACGGCAUGGCAGCAGUUUAUCAUCAUCAACCCGUGCAAAAUUACACCAAAGCUUUGCCGAAACUCCAUCAUUCUCCAAACACCAUAAUCCGAACUCACCAUCAUCCUUGAUCCGAAGCAAGUAGCCUAGGGUUCCGCUCACUCGAAAAAUAGAACAAGUAGGGAUAUUUUGAGAGNNNNNNNNNNNNNNNNNNNNNNNNNNNNNNNNNNNNNNNNNNNNNNNNNNNNNNNNNNNNNNNNNNNNNNNNNNNNNNNNNNNNNNNNNNNNNNNNNNNNNNNNNNNNNNNNNNNNNNNNNNNNNNNNNNNNNNNNNNNNNNNNNNNNNNNNNNNNNNNNNNNNNNNNNNNNNNNNNNNNNNNNNNNNNNNNNNNNNNNNNNNNNNNNNNNNNNNNNNNNNNNNNNNNNNNNNNNNNNNNNNNNNNNUGUUUUGAUUCUUGUCUAUGAGAUAGAAGUACUUUUGAGCUAUGUGUUGAAUUGAAGUUUAUGAUUUAUGAUCAAUGAUUUUAGGUUUUAUGCCGUGAGUUUUAUGUCCAUGUACUUUAAGAUUUUCAGUGUAUUCUUCUAUUUUCAUGUGUAAUUGAUACAAGUAGUUGAUGUUGCAUGUGUUAAUCAUCCAAGGUUCGACUUUGAUACAAGUAGUUGAUAAGUUGCAUUGUCUUUGUUAUUUCACCGAUUUUCUACCUAUGUUUGAUUUGGACUUGUGCUUAAACAUAUCGAUUCUUUAUGUGAUACGUAAUUGCAUGAUUAGUUUAUGUGUGUGACCUAUAAGUAGAGCACGUAGCCGAGCUUGUUUGUGUCACGAUGUUGAAUGAAACCCGUAGUCUAAUUCAAAGUAUGUCUAUGUCAUAGGAACCACGUAGGAACUUAUGUGCAUAUCAAAUUUAGGUUUUGUAUUUGCUCACGGUGUGGACUUAAUUGAGAUUAGAGAUCGUCUUCUUUGUUCUUGCAUGGUUGUUUGGUUGUGUUUGCAUGAUUGUUGGUUGAUCACAUGUAAAUAUGUAUAGAGGUAAUUUAGGAUUUAUUUUCAAUGUUAUUCCGAAAUCAUCAAACCCUUAAACCCUAUAUGCAUAUUUCGACAUUUUUAUUAGGUUAGAUGGAUCUACCCUGUAGUUGGAUCCCCGGUUUAGAACGAUCCCUGCUUGCUUUAUACUAUGAUUGAUUUGUUGACAAGGUUAAUUGAUGCGUGUGCAAAUACGUUUUAUCAAAACACAUAGACUUUCAAUCAUGCUUCUUCCUUUGUCUCUUUAAGGGAAUCUGGACCUCAAAAUCUUCCAUCUUCUUCUCUUUCCGGUCAGUCCUUGCUUUGAUCCUUCUUACAACUGAACAUGUCCUCGGUCCUUUGAUAUGAGCACAAAGUGCUAUGUUUAUAAUGUGUUUCCUACCCUACUUAGCUAUGAUAUUCUCAUAAUAUUACCAUUUCUGAUAUGUUUUGUUAUUAUACAGGACAUGAGAGCAUAAAUCAAGAAAAGAAGGCUAAAUGAUGGAAAUAAGAGAAAAAUACAGAAAAAGACAAAUAAGCCUUCUUGCAGUCCAAGGAAGGAAGAUGAAAGGCACAAAGAGCUUAAUUGACAAAAGAAGGCCCAAGUAGUACAAAAAUGCAGAAAGCCCAAAAGAAGGCAAGUAGUCCAAGGAUGGAAAAGAAGGCCCAAGCAACCCAACAAAGGGAGGAGAAAAGUCAAACUUAUGGCGCUACUCCCACAUCAUUUUUUAGGAGAAGUUCCACCAAGACUUCCUCUAUAUAAAGACAGCCUUGGGUACUUCUUAGGGCAUCAUUCAUUCACACAAAAGUCAGGGAAACACAUAGCUCUGCUGAGCAGCCUCUCCCUCUCCUUUGUUGAGUUUCUUCCUAGCCAAAGCCUUGUUGGACGUUUCCACAAGAGCAGCAACUUGGGAGCCUUGAAGCUUUGAAGCUGGAGCACUUUUUAGAUGUCUACAAGCUUCUUGAAGACUGAUAAAGUGUAACCCUACCUCUGUUUUGUUUAGUUUUCUUUUACAAUUUCAGAAACAUGUUUUCGGUUUUCAAAUAUUGGAUUUGGAUGUUGUUUCGAUGGUUAUGUUGUUAGUAAAUUCUGAGUUUCAGUAAAGCAUGCUAAAGUUUCGUUAAUGAUAUUUUUAGCAAUCUGAUCUUGUCAAUUCAUAGGUUAGAAAGUAUGUGUUGUUGUUUGAUAUACCUAUGUUAGAAUGCAUGCUAACUAAUGCCAUGAUUUAUGCUAAGCCUCGUAGGUAAGUGUAGAUCUCCAGUGGUGGAAGUUGUGUCACAGAUAUAGCUGAAUACAUAUACUAUGCAAUUCCCUGUUGUGACGUUGAUGAUAUAAUUGUGUUCAAUCUCGUUCUAUAGAUCUUAAGGACUCAUAUUAAGUGUAGACAGAUACUUGUAGUAUUGAUAGCAACCUUGCAUGAGAUGUCCUAGUUCUAGACGUUCUGUGCUAGGGAUAAGUAAGAAGAACUAUAAAAUGCAUGACCUCGUAGGCUUGUAUUUUGAGAUUGUUUCUAGCUCUCUGAAUUGGCAUGUUAUCAGAUUGUUAAGGUUGAAAUGUGAACUUUGAUGUGUGGUCAAAAUCUGAGUUUCUCUCUUAUGGAUGUGUUGAAUGAAUCGAUCACUUGUAUAUAUUAGUUUAGCCUUUAUCUUUAUCUUUUAGUAGGAACAUUAGAACAAACCUCAAAACCCCCCUUAGUAAAUGUAUAUAUUGAUAACUACUGAUUUUUUACAUGACCAUUGUUACAAGAGCACCCUUAGUCCCCAGAUUGAUCGAACCUUAUUUGCCUUAUACUACGAUUGUCAAAAAUGGUUCUUAAUUGUCGCACGCCCGGUAAUGGGCGAGUCAUCCUUCUCUUUCAGCCGCACCUCCUACAUCUGUACCUUCUUCUUCCCCUGCACCUUCUACGUUUCCAACUGAACCUUCUUCUUCCCCUGCAGUAGCAACAUUUUCAGCUGAACCUUCUUCUCCCUAUGCAGUAGCAACCUUUUCCGCUCCUGAACCUUCUACAUCAUUUCCAGCUGAACCUCCUUCAACCUGAGUUGUAACACCAACCUCACUCGUUUCUUCCUUUUGUCCUAGCAACAACAAUUUAUACUUGUAUUCCAACUUUUUUAUGUAAUCAUUUUUCUGCUUCAAUGUUUUCUUCAACUUUUUGUUAUUUCUCUUCAGUUCUUCUCUUUCAUCCCAAAGGCGCACAUAAGAGUCAUUCUUCGAUUUGCAGCUAUAGAUUGCACUCGCCACCAUUUCUCCCCUUACUUUGGACAAACCCUGCCAGUAUUCCAACUCCUCAUUGCUAGUUGCUUUUGGAAAUUCCUUAGACUCCUUUUCAACAAACUCUUCAUACAACCUGAAGUCCUCCGGAUCAUACAUUUUCUCACUCGCAAACUCUUCAUGUCCUCCUCCUUGAUCCGCAUCCUUAUCUUUAUUGAAAAACUUCUUCAAAAUCUCUUCUGUGUUUGCUGCUACUUCUUCGUAUGUUUCACCUUCAUCAUCCACAGCAGCAGCUUUUUCAUUCCCUCCAGCUGACAAAAAAAAGGACAAAUAAAUUAGUCAAGUUUAAUUCCACUCAUAUCUACUGUAAGUGUAAUCUAAGUUUUAUACUUACCCAACCAUUUAAUGUCAUGUCGAAGGAUCCAAGGCCUUCACAAGUAUCCACUUUGGCUUCUGAAGUAGCACCCUCUUCGGUUUGUCCACUAGAACCCUCUACGGCUUGUGCAAUAGCACCCUUCUCAGCCACCAUAGGAGCACCCUUUUCGGCUUGUGUAGUAGCACCUUCUUCAACUUGUACACUAGCACCCUCUUUGGUUUGCGCAGUACCACCCUUCUCAGACACCACAUGAGCACCUUCUUCAGAUUCUGCAGGACCACCCUUCUCAGCCACCAUAGAAGCACCCUCUUCAACUAGUGCAGUAGCACCCUUCUUCAAGUUCUUCCUCGCUUCUUUCUUCUUUCCCACCUCAUCAUGCAUUCUUUGGUGGAGGGUUCUCAAAGUCAUCGUCACCAACUGCAUUAUCAACCUGUAGUGCAGUGUUUUUCUAAUAAAUAUAGGGUUCUCAGAAAAAAUAAUAGUUUAUUUUUGAACAAAUAACAACUAUGAUUUAUUUUGUAGUAGUAGCUUUUUAUUGUUUUUCAGUGUAGUAGCAGCUAUUUUUUUCUAUGUAGUAGCGAAAAGAAUUUGGUAGUACCAAAACCCAAUUAAGAAGCUAAAGUAAAAUUUAAUAGAGUUGCAUGAGCAGUCUUACUGUAUCUCUCAAUGUCUGUUUUACAGUCCUUUUCUCUGCGACAUGCUUUUGCUUCUUUGCUCUCUUUUGUUUUUUUUCCCACUUCUUGCUCCACCGCAGUAGCUUGGCUUGAUGAUGCUUUAUUCUCUUCUACUCGUUGUCUUUUUUUGCCUUUUGGCUUUGCAGCAGCAUGCUUUGGUGGAUGAUUCAUAAAAUCAUCAUCACCUUGUUGUUCAUUAUCCUUCGCAUUUGUCUCAUCCUCAGCAUUAUCAAUCUGCAAUACAAGUUUUCCCAAUUAAUCUAAAAUCAUCAUCACCUUGUUGUUCAUUAUCCUUCGCAUUUGUCUCAUCCUCAACAUUAUCAAUCUGCAAUACAAGUUUUCCCAAUUAAUCUAAGAAAAAAUGAUCACAACACAGUAGCUAAGCUAAAUGAAAAUGUAAAAUCAAAUAGUAGCAGCUACAUUUGUUAUAUGUAGUCGCAACUUAAUGUUUGCAAACUAAAAUUAUAUGGAGUUGCCACAUCAGUAAAUAGACAGCUCCGUCUCGAAAAUUGGACGGAGGUAUCUUAUUGAUGCCAAAAUCAAUUUUUGGGCAUCACACUGAUAUUUUUUAAAGUUCGAGUAUCACAUUGGCCUUGACACAAUAGUUCAGGGACCGUUGGUGAAUUUUUCUCUUUUUUUAAACACCGUUGUGAAAGCAGGGAGACUCCACUUUACGCAGCACGGAGUCAUCCCACAUCUCCCAUCAAUUUCACAAAGCACGGUGCUUCUUUCACAAAUCCAGUACUACAAAACAAAAACAAGCAUGUAAGAAAGUAGUAUUAGCAGUAGCACAUAAUUCAAAGGCAGUAGCAGUAACACUAUUGCUUACCGGGAUCAAUACUACACAUCCACUACUAGUGUGAGCCCUCCCAUCCUCUGAAGUAGUCAAGCACGAUAAUAAGUAAUCCCCAACUCCUUUGGCCCAAUUGUACUUCUUCAUGGUGUCAUAAUCUAUUAUGCAUUUGACAAAGGUCCAACCAAGAGUCGAACCCGAACUUGCAAACAAUAGUGUGGUGAAUAAAUGCAGUAGCAAGAGCUGUGUGACUCUCAUUGGCCAUCCAUACCUUUUGACUUUCACUUCUGCAUCCAGGAGAUCAAAUAUCCUUGACUUUGUUAUCCUGAUUUCAUUGCCGAAAAAAGCUUGCCCCACUGAAUUAUCCACAGGCUUUUUUGAAUCUUCAAGUGGGGUCGGCACAUUGAGCCCGUUUUUUGGGUUUUACAGCCCAAAAAUCUGCUCUACAUUAGACACACUGAUCUCAGCCACCUUGUUUCCAAACUUGAACUUCUUCAAUGUUGGCACGUAGCAGUCAAUCAAUCGCUGAAUUUCUCUAUCCGACUUCUUUGCAGUGGAUUUUGACACCAAACGUCUAUCAUAUAUUGAUAUGAAAUCCCAGAAUGGUGUCUUCGUUAGCUCAUUUCUUAGAAUCUCCUUAUCCUUACCUAAGUCCUUGCAAACCUUGGUGAAUACUUCUUCAAAUGGCAACAUGUUGCAUCUGAAUUGACAAAAUUUCUGCUCACACCUUGGCUUUUUAACCUUGUCUACUUCCUUGGCUUUUUGCUGUUGUUUACGCUUCCUUGGCAACUUUUUUCUACACGCUAGAGUCUUAUAUCGCUUCCCUUUCGGUUUGGCAUUCAUAUCAUUUUGCACUUGUGCACAGUAGCAAGAAAAUCAGAAUUAAACAACUCAUGUUACAAUAGCAGAUAUAUUAAUUUCUUACUUUUUACAGUAGCAUGAGCAUGAUUAAGUUAGCAGGAAACAAUUGAAACAGUAGCAGUUUAAAUUAUACUUUAGCACGUGUAGUAGCAGACUUAUUAGUAGUCUAGUCUGUGUAGUAGCAGCUCUUUAACAUUAAUGUUUUUUAGGAUUUUUUUUAUUCUUAAUAGUCAGCAAGUGUAGUAGCAGAUACAUAACUAGUCUAGUCCGUGUAGUAGCAGCUCUUUAACAUUAGCAAUUUUUUUGGAUUUUUUGUGAUUCUUAAGGUUCAGCAGGUGUAGUAGCAGACAUAUAACUAAUCUAGACAAUUCAAAACAUAUUCUCAAUUGUAAAACACUGAAUACAUAGACCACUCAUGAUAAAAAAAUACAGUAGCAGAGAUAUUGCAAAUGAGCAUGUGCAUAGAGAAUUACCUGGAUAUCGUUUGCCACCUCUGUUUCUUUUUGGCUCAUUAGUAUCAUUGUAGACCCCUGUUCCUCCUUUAAUCAAAUCUAUAAACUGCUACUGCGUCCAAAAGCACUGUAAAACAUGAAUUUCGGAUUCUUAUAAACUCAGUGCUACUGCUCGAUUAUGAAAUCGAAAAAGAAAUAGUGAUUUCAAGUUCAAAUAACACCAAAUCUAAACGAAAUGCACAAACACAAAGCCAAUCCAUGAAAUCGAGUUCAAAUUCAUAGAAAUCAAUUAUUCAUUUCUGAUACAAACACAAAGUGCUAUGUUUAUAAUGUGUUUCCUGCCCUGUUUAGCUAUGUUAUUUUUGUAAUAAUGCCAGUUCUAACAUGUUUUGUGUCACAUCCCGACCCUUAUAUUUUUACCUUAUUUACUAGCGUGAUUAUAAUAAGAAUUUUACCGUCUCCGUCAUUGAGUAAAUAGUUUAAUUGGUCCCUAGAGGGGUUUCGGGGACGAUUAUGUGCGGAGGAUUAUUAGUAUGAAGAAAAUACGACGACGGUAAAAAUAGUAAAUUUUAGCUAGUAAAAGGUAAUUUUUAUUCGGGUAUUAUUUUUCGGGGUGUUGAAUUUUGGAUUAAAAAGGAGAGUUGGGUCGGCUGGGCCGAGCCCAACCCAUUUCUUCUUCCUUUCUCUCUCUCUCCCUCCCGAUUUUUCUUCUCUUCCCACCCGAGUUUUUUCUCUCUACACCCAGCAGACUUNNNNNNNNNNNNNNNNNNNNNNNNNNNNNNNNNNNNNNNNNNNNNNNNNNNNNNNNNNNNNNNNNNNNNNNNNNNNNNNNNNNNNNNNNNNNNNNNNNNNNNNNNNNNNNNNNNNNNNNNNNNNNNNNNNNNNNNNNNNNNNNNNNNNNNNNNNNNNNNNNNNNNNNNNNNNNNNNNNNNNNNNNNNNNNNNNNNNNNNNNNNNNNNNNNNNNNNNNNNNNNNNNNNNNNNNNNNNNNNNNNNNNNNNNNNNNNNNNNNNNNNNNNNNNNNNNNNNNNNNNNNNNNNNNNNNNNNNNNNNNNNNNNNNNNNNNNNNNNNNNNNNNNNNNNNNNNNNNNNNNNNNNNNNNNNNNNNNNNNNNNNNNNNNNNNNNNNNNNNNNNNNNNNNNNNNNNNNNNNNNNNNNNNNNNNNNNNNNNNNNNNNNNNNNNNNNNNNNNNNNNNNNNNNNNNNNNNNNNNNNNNNNNNNNNNNNNNNNNNNNNNNNNNNNNNNNNNNNNNNNNNNNNNNNNNNNNNNNNNNNNNNNNNNNNNNNNNNNNNNNNNNNNNNNNNNNNNNNNNNNNNNNNNNNNNNNNNNNNNNNNNNNNNNNNNUUUUUGUCCACUCACUCUAACGUUAUUAAAUGUUUUCCCCUGGGCCCUUCGUUUUAAAUUGCCCAGUCUGCAGAGUUCGGGUUGGAUCUAGUAGGAGACGAGGCAUAGUCACCCGCAUUUCUGUCCAGUUUUCGCCAGUAGGUUACCUGUUCAACCUACUCGUGUUUUCUUGCUUCCGCUUGUGUUUAGUAGCUCUGAAUACUUUAGAAUUUUUGUAUAUUAUGCGAUGUUCAGAAGUGAUAAAUUAAGAGUGUAAUUUGAAAUUUUCGAGUUAGGGUUGUCCAUCUGCAAGGGAGAUUUUCUUAAUCUUUUCAGUAAAUUUUCCUUGGAGGUGGUCCCCGCACGACUUACUCUGGGUUUCAGGGUGAAAUUCGGGGUGGGUCGUGUCAUUUUGUGAGUGUGAAGGCAAAAGAGCAGAAAAGCAGAAAAGGAAGCUAAAACCGGCAAUUUAAGAGAAAUCCUAAUCAGAGGAGGAUUCUUGGUGCAGCAAGAAGUCUCAUUAAGUCGCAAAAUCUGAGGAUAAGUCGUUUAGGAAACUUUCUUGUUUUGAAAAGGGAAACUUACCUAUUUCAUUUUAAGAACUUUCUUAUUUUGAUUUAGGAAACUUACUACUUUUGAAUCUUUCCUAUUCUAACUUUCCUAAAAUAUUUAGGAAACUUUCUUUUCUGAUGAGACAGGGAAAUCAUUUGAAGUCAGGAAACCUAAUCCAACUUGGAAUAGAAUGUCUUGGAACGUGUAUAAAAGAGGAAGGACGAAUUCUGCAGUAAUCAAGGGAUUUAUGUGUGCUAAUAUAAAUAAGAAAUUAAGGGAGAUUCUUUCCUUUAAUUUCGUCAUUUGAAUUCUGUUAUUCCCUAAUUGCGCACCAGGAAAAGAAGGAAAAUCAAGGAUUUUCGUCAAAUGUCUGAUUGAAGGCAGAAGAAGGAAGGUUUUCACUGCUGUGAUUUCUUUUGGAGAACAAAAAACAUACCUGGCCUCUAUUCAAGCCUCAUGCAAUGAAUUACUGCAAAAGACAUUCCAGAGAAUUCUGGGCAGUUCUAAAUCAAGAUUUAAAGCAAUAAUUCUGCACCGUUGGAUCAGAAAUUAAUCAAGGGCUAGGAGGAUAGCUAGGGUUCGGCCAGACCAGUGUAUAAAGGAGCAAAGGAGCAACGUUUUGGGCAUCACUUCUCACGCAUAGACUUCUGCCCUUACAUCAUAAUAGCCUUUUCUCCAUUGUUUUCGUCCAAGACAGCAGAGCCUCCAUCCAUUGAAGCUUGCUCUACCUUGGUGUUCUUCAGAACGUCACUUCGGAGAUAAAAAAAUGUAACAAUGCCUCAAUCGAUUUCUCUCUGUUCUGUAGUAAUUUCUUUUGUUAGAUUUUUAGAACUCCUGCGUUUUGGAUUGAGAUUGUUGUUGAGAAUAUGGUUAUAUUAAUUAUCAGAUUUAUAAAGUUGUGUUUUUGAAUUGUUUAUGAGAUUUACUUGACUUAUUUUCGUGUCAUUCAUGAUGUUGAAACUUAUGAUCUGGUUUAUGUAAAUGACUAACUUCUGCAGGGUUGGUAUUGCCAUUUAUCUGUGUUAAACCGCUAAGGCAAACAUAGAUUGAUUAAGUGGCAAAAGCUUAGAUUCAUGGGAAUGGGUCAGGUUUUGAUCAUGAGUUGCAUGUGAACUGUUUAAGCGCUAAGAUAAACUUGUUUACAUGUUCGAAUUCUUCUGUGAACUUAAGGAUUCAUGUUUUAUGUUGUAUGGUUGUGCUAAGUAUUAACAUGACAUAUUGCAUGGAAUUUUCUGUGUUAAACCGCUAAGGCAAACAUAGGAUACUUAAGCAGAUUAUUAUAGGUUGCAUGACCGCUACGGUGUAUAAUUCUGAAUUCGUUUCACAAUUCUUGAUUGGCAUGAUUUUAGGUUGUGUAGAUUGAAACAAUUUAUUCACAGGAUUUUAUAUGUUUGUGUGUGUUUAAAGUCGAUCACUUGUAUAUAUUUUAUUUUCUGUUUUAGUAGGAACAUAGAACAAACCUUCAAAACCCCCCUUUUAUCUAUUGUACCAUGUGUAUAUCUGUAACUGAAUACUUGUAAAUACUUAUAAUUACUGAUUGUUUAGUGUAACCAUGACUGCAGGAGCGCCCUUUAGGUCCCCGGAUUGAUCGAACCCUAUUUGCCAAUACUACAUUCUGAUAAAAAAGGGUUUUUAAAUUGUGCGCCCGGUAACGAGCACGUCAAUUUCUGAUUGCUACUAUAAAAUCGCUAAGCUAAAAACUGAAUCUCAGACAUGCAGAAGCCAUAGAAGAUUGAACAAUUACCUGAAUCGUGAAUCGUGAGAGACGUCGAUCUACUACUGUGGAAUUGCUACUGUGAUUUUAGGGUUUGGAUGGAAAUGGUGGAGAAUUUUGGGACGAAUCUUUCUGCUACUGUGAUUUUAGGGCUUGGGAUUUUGAGAGAGAAUCGUUGUUUUGAAUGGAAAUGGUGGAGAAGUGCGGGACGAAUCGGCAGUUGGGGUUGAGGCAAUGGCAGUUUUGUAGUUAUUUUAGAAAAGAUUGGUUUUUUGAGUAUUUUGUGUGAAAAUUGUUGUCAGGGCGUGAGACUAUGCAUUGUGGGCUUGGGCUUAUGUCUUUAUUUGUUUAAAUCUGUUGCAAGGUGGUUUUUCUGUGUUUUGCAACUGCCUAUGGUAGUGGGUUGUCAUUUUCUAAUCUGAAAAACCACCAAAUUACUAAGGGCGCCCAAAAGGGUUUACAUAAAUGGAAGGUUUCCAAAAACGGAAAGUUUCCUAAAAUAAAAACUUUCAUAACUUGGUAAUUUUUCCGAUUACAACCCAAAUUUUCCUAUUUCUGAAGCGAAAAUUCUUCCAUUCACGGUGAAAAUUCACUAAGUGACGUGGCACAAGCACAACCACAAGUUUUAAUGUAGACCAUGUUUUGACUAACUUUAGCUCAGCUCCGUUAAUGUUUGGAACUUUGGAAUUGAUGAGUGGAAGGUAGAAAAAAAUGGGUAAAAUCCUUCUGCCUAGCUGGGUUAAAUGUAGACCAAAAACCUCAACCCUCUCCGGUGAGGAAAUCAUCUGUUCUGAUCCGAGUCUCUCUCUACCGCCACGACUCGACAUCUGGGAGAUCCCCUCUCCCGCAACGACUUGCUCUCCGCCGCGUCUCUGAUGAUCUCCAGUUUGACAUGGCGGGCCUGAUCUCCACCUCUAUCCGGUCAACCCUCGACUGCCCGCUCAACUACUCAGCCCUCUACCUCGACUCCGACCUUGUACUCGUCGACGACAUUGCCAAGCUGGCCACCACGACGCCACCCAUCUCUCCUUAACCUUUGAGGGCCGCGACGCUUGCUACUUCAACACCGGUGUAAUGAUCAUCGACCUCGACCGGAGGCGGGCCAGCAUCUACACCAACCGUAUCGUCGAGUGGAUGGAACUUCAUAAGCGAAUGCGGAUCUACGAGCUUGGUUCUUCAUAAUGGGGAUCAGUCUCCUGCAGAUGUUUGGAAGAUGAGAAUGCAUUGGAAGUUGGAACUGGACGGCGAUAUGAGAAAAUGACUAUUUCUCUUAAUUGUAAUUUUACUUCUUUACCCAUUCUAGAUAAUAUGGUUUUCCUAGUGUUUAGAUAAGGGGUAUAUAGUUACGUCAAAGCAUUAUAAUACUAGGGUUACCUAUUUGUUCUUUGUUCUUUUUUGUGUAAAUUUAGUUUUAAUUACAAUCUUUAACUAACGGUUUGAUAUAAAACGAUUGGCUUCUCUGGGAACUUUUUUAUAAGCUAACUCAACUUAAAAACUCAAUAUUGUUAGGAUAAAAAUGGUGGAGAAACGUUAUUGAAAAUAAGUAAAUUUUUCUAUAUUCAUUUUUUUUUGUCGGAAGUCAAAACUAAUAUUAUUCACCAAGUAUACAUCUUUAUAAACCAACUAUAUAUAGAUGAUAAAUUUUUGAAAAAUCGACCGUAGGAUGUGAUCGGUAUAGUGAAAUACAGGUAUGGUGGAAAAUUCAAUCAUUUUCGAUAAUACUUGGACCCCGAUCAAGACAGUCAACUAUUUUUACGUUUAUGCUUCCUUAUGGGGAACCCUAUCGUUGAGAUUUAAAUUUUCCUCAAAUUUAAUAUGGGCUGUUACAUCUCAUCAAUGUGAGAGUGUGUUGGUGGAAGAAUAGACCAAAAUAAGUCACGAAUGGAUAUGUAUGAGCGUUUUCGUGUAAUAAGUGACAUAAUUUAUUGUUGACUGUGUCGAUUGAUGCCCAAACGUUAUCGAAAAUAGGUGAAUUUUUCUUCAUUGACAUUUUGAAGUGUACUGAUCACAUCAGACGGUCAAAUUUUCAUUUUUAAAAUUUUAGUCAUUGGAACUACAACAUGCCUGCUAAUAUUAUGUAACUUGUUUAGUGGGUUAUAUGGAAAUGUAUAUUUGUGUGAACCAACUAUAUCUAGCAGAUAAAAUUUUCUAAAAUCGGCCGUUGGAUGUGAUCGGUACAUUGAAAUACUGCUACGGUAGAAAAUUCACAUAUUUUCGAUAAUGUUUGGACCCCGAUCGACGUGGUCAACCAUAUUUACGUUUAUGCUUCCUAUGGGUAGCCUUGUUUUCGAGAGGUAAACUUCUCCAAAUUUUUAUAUGGGCUGCUGCAUGUUAUCUAUGUGAGAGUGUGUGGGCGGAAGAAUCGACCAAAUAAGUCUCAGAGGGGUAGGUAAGAGCGUUUACAUGUAAUAAAUAGGCGUUGAUUUAGAGUUGACCGUGUCGAUCGAGACCCAAACUUUAACGAAAAUAAGUGAAUUUUUAUUCAUAGCCAUAUUUAAGUGUACUUAUCAUAUCAGACAGUUGAAUUUUCAUUUUGUGAACUUUAAUCAUUAUAACCACAACAUUUAUACUAAUGUGGUAUAACUUGUUUAGUGUUCUAGGAUAUUCUCUAUGUGUGCCUUGGCCUUAUGCCAAUAGGAUAUAUAGUUAGACUAGAUCUAUGUAUUCAUAUCCUUACCAUAUUGGUAUUGUGUAAUUCCCUAUAUAAAGGGCUCCUAUCAAUGAAUAAGAUGAUGACUCUCUUGCUAUCUCUUUGUCUCUACACUUUAUCCUUCAUCAUGUUAUCAUGCACUUUGUUCUAACCCUAGAGCCAAUAGCCCACCAUUUUUUUUUUUUCUAAACCCUAAAAACCAAAACCCUAAAAUCGGGCAGCCUUGUUUUUCCCGAUUUCCGACCAAAAUUCCGACUACCCUCCGCCGGAAUUUUAUAUCCCCAUAAAGCACUCUCCGCCUCGGAUCCAACGCCGCCGGUCUCACCCUGAGAACCGGCCGGAAAGUCUCCGAACCGGCCGCCGGAAGAUUCCAGACUGCCGCCGCUACCGACCACCGGUUCACCACCUUCCCUUGCUCCGAUCAACCUGAAAUUUUGACAGCAGCUUCCCCAUCCAGAGCUGCUCCUCCUGUCAAAUUUUCAGCCCCAAAUUCGAAGUAUAAGUAGGCGAAACGUUAUUUCUCCUCUCGGCAGCCUCUAGAAAGGUAUGUUUUGAAACCUUAAACUUUUCCAAGUUCAAUAACUCGGGGAGGAUAAAAUCCUUUCCUCNNNNNNNNNNNNNNNNNNNNACUAACUACUACUACUACUACUACUACUCUACUCUCUCUCUCUCUCUCUCUCUCUCUCUCUCUCUCUCUCUCUCUCUCUCUCUCUCUCUCUCUCUCUCUCUCUCUCUCUCUCUCUCUCUCCUCGCCCUUCUCCUCCUCUCGACAAAUCUAUGAUAUGAGGAUAGCUCGACUUGGGCUCAAGGGGUCGAGAUGCCUCAGGCUAACUCAAGAUCACACCUCGGUUCAUGGAUCAAGUCAGUGAUGAGAUCAGAUCUGGGCUCAUGGCAUUGGCAAUUGAUGGAGGCCUUGUAAGCUUCAUGAAACUUCUGGAUGCCUUCUUUACCGAUGACUUUCCGAUUGGUUUGGAAGGGAUGACGAUGAGUGGAUCUUAUGUGAAAAUUAAGCAAAAGGCUAUAUGUAUUAGGAGAAGAAGUUUGAUAAUUCAGAGAGAAAGAAAUGUUCGUGUUGGUAAUGCAUCUGAGCUAGCAUGUGGGUUGAGAGGCUUGGAGUAAUAGUCUUGGGUAAUGGGUAUAAAUGUAGGUUAUGGUAUUUGGGAUAGAUGGGCAUUUAACAUGGUUGCUCUCGUUAUUGCUCCAUUUUGAAAUUGAUGAGAAACUUGAGUACAGUAAGUGUAGUAGCACAACAACACGAGAGCAGUGCAGUAGCAGGGAUGAUGUAUUCAAUGACUAGUCCAGUAGCAAGGAUGAUGACUGGGUAUAGUAGCAGACUCGAACGAGUAAUAAUGUAGUAGCACAACAAUACAAAUACGAGUUCAGGGAGUGCAGUAGCAAAAUAGCAGAACAUGAUUGCGAUAGCAUAACUUAAAAUGAGUUUCUCAGUAGAUAGUACCAGCUUUAUGUGAACUACAGGAUAAGGCAGUAGAAGAACUGGAGUAUAAGACAAUAGCAAAAUUGGAGGAUAAUCUUCAAACAAUAGUAGUAGAAGUGGAUAAUUGCAGUAGCAGAAGUGGAAGAUAAAGCAGUAGCAGAACUAGAGGAUUGUCGAAGCAUACUUGUGCUACUACUGGGAUGUUAACCCCUGCUACUACUUCUACUGGAAUGUUAAGCCCUACUACUACUUCUACUAGAAUUAACUGAUACUACACUAAAUUACUGAAAACCUGCUACUGUAUACCAUUUACUAAAAAAUCUCAAAAAUAAAGACUUUGUUCUAGGAUAUUCUCUAUGUGUGCCUUGGCCUUAUGCCAAUAGGAUAUGUAGUUAGACUAGAUCUAUGUAUUCAUAUCCUUACCAUAUUGGUAUUGUGUAAUUCCCUAUAUAAAGGGCUCCUAUCAAUGAAUAAGAUGACUCUUUUGCUAUCUCUUUGUCUCUACACUUUAUUCUUCAUCACGUUAUCAUGCACUUUGUUCUAACCCUAGAGCCAAUAGCCCACCAUUUUUUUUCCAAACCCUAAAAUCGGGCAGCCUUGGUUUUCCCGAUUUCCGACCAAAAUUCCGACUGCCCUCCGCCGGAAUUUUAUAUCCCCAGAAAACUCUUUCCGUCACGGAUCCAACGCCGCCGGCCUCACCCUGAGAACCGGCCGGAAAGUCUCCGAACCGGCCGUCGGAAAAUUCCAGACCGCCGCCACUACNNNNNNNNNNNNNNNNNNNNCCAUCUCCAUUCUAUGCUUGGGAUUUUGUGCGUGCAGGUACCCAAAUCCCGGAAUUUUAUUCGCGGGUCAAGAGUGUGUUUGAUCACUCUUGUUUCUUUGUCCGGGUUGUGUUUGAUCAACCCCGACCUUUCACCGGAUUGUGUUUGAUCAAUCCGAGGCCUUUUUCCGAAUUGUGUUUGAUCAAUUCGCGGCUUUUCCGGAUUGUGUAUGAUCAAUCCGAAGGACAAACCAUUAAAAGCAUCGUUUGUGACCUCUAUCGAGUCUCAUAACAGCUUGGUUUUGUAUGCAAGAGCAAUGUAACAUUCUGCUCCUUUGAGUUUUGACGUACUAGAUGCCUAAGGCGGAUCUUCGCUUGGUAUCUGUGGAACCUUUCAUUGGAAAGGAUUAAAUCACAUGUUUUGACCCCAGGCUAACAAGCCUAGAUGCCGAGAUGCCACAUCGACAAAAGCCUUCAAUGGCAAUCUGUGCAAAAAGUAAUGACCACAAAAUACUGUGGAAUGCACUCAUGGAGCGUUUCUUGAAACGUUCAUAUAACUCUCCUUGUUGAGUUAUUAGACAAGUGGAUUGCUUACCACCUUAAUUGACUACAUAUUGUCGAUGAUCUUUUGUGGCAUCAUGAUCCAUAAUCUUUAGCGGAUUCGAUCAUCAUCAAGUUCUCUAGGUCCUCCAAGUUGGUGUGGAAUUACCAACGAGACUUGAUUUUGAUCAUACAAACAGGAAUUAUAUAUACGCUAAUGUGAUAAACUUAUUUGGGAUUAUCCCCUAAUGUGGGGACAACAAUAUGGGUCAUGGCAACGGUAGAAAAUGUCGUGCCGAUGUCUAGAAAAGAGGGGAGGUGUUGCCGGCUCUAAUAGCGACACUCCGGCAACACUCCCGGUCUAGACACCAUUUUGUCAAAACUACUCACGUCAGCUCAUGACAUUAAUGCAACCGUUAUGGAUCUUCGGAUCACUGGUUCAAGAUUGUCAAGCUCCUUUAAAUUGUGAAUGCAUAUAAAAAGGUAUAGAAAAUCAAUAUGAGGACAAGAACGUCAUCCUCAUGAUCGUGAAUUUCAAAGAUUUGGAUCCUGCUCUAGCUACCCAUGACUUUGAUGUCAUCGGCUAGACAUUGAUUUUCGUUCCAAGUUAUAUGUACUAAGGCGUUGUAUCGACGUCCUUUGUCUAUUUGAGACCUCGAUGUACUCACAUUAGCAAUAAUGAAUGCCUUGAGAAUUUUUUCGAAGUGAAACUAUUCUCCUCUUAUGAUUCAUAUUGAUUUACAAUCAAGAUGUACACUUACAUCGUCCUUAGAAACAUGGCAUAUUGUGCCGAUUUUGGUCCCUUCCUUUGAAGGUGACUCAUGGCACUGCAUCCUCAAGGAGGAUCGCCCACGUGUUUCCAGUUAAGUCUUCUACCCUAUAGCGGAUUUUUCAUCAUCAAUUGUUCAACUAGGCUCAUCCAAGCUCAGUGUGAUGUCUUAGAAUUGUCCGAAAUUAAGGAGAUAGUGGUUUUAAGUGUGCCUCGUACUACCGACCCUCCACGGAUAUGCCUGGUCCUACUGACUUGGAGUUACCGAAAGCUUUUGAUUUUGGAUCCCCCUACGCUAUUAAACCAAUUGCCGUCUUGCAAAAGACGUUGAAGACUUAUCAAAGAUGGAAAAUUAUCAUCAUAAUCGGAUCCUCUAGGUCCUCUGAGUUAGUUUAUGUUCAUGUCAGGGAGCUUCUGCUAACUAGUCAUUGCGUUUACGACCUUAGAACGAUCGAAAGGACUUGGUUUUGAUCAUACACACGUCACUUUUGGCUAAGGCAAAAGCCUACACGCCACCUGCAAGCUUCACAGCUUCGCACAUGCCAAAUCUGCGAAAAACAGCAAUCUGUCCCUUCUGGAUAGUCAACUUCGUUUGAGCUUUGUGAACAGCUCCGGACGAACCAGACAGUGAGCUUUAUAUCAUUGGAAAGCUCUAUGAGUCUAGUUUUCAGNNNNNNNNNNNNNNNNNNNNCACAAAGUACUAUGGAAUGCACUCAUGGAGCAUUUCUCGAAACGUUCAUAUAACUCUACUUGUUGAGUUAUUAGUCAAGUGGAUUGCUUACCACCUUAAUUGACUACAUAUUGUCGAUGAUCUUUUGUGGCAUCAUGAUCCAUAAUCUUUAGCGGAUUCGAUCAUCAUCAAGUUCUCUAGGUCCUCCAAGUUGGUGUGGAAUUACCAACAAGACUUGAUUUUGAUCAUACAAACGAGAAUUGUAUAUACGCUAAUGUGAUAAACUUAUUUGGGAUUAUCCCCUAAUGUGGGGACAACAAUAUGGGUCAUGGCAACGGCAGAAAACGUCGUGCCGAUGUCUACAAAAGAGGGGGAGGUGUUGCCGGCUCUAAUAGCGACACUCCCGGUCUAGACACUAUUUUGUCAAAACUACUCACGUCAGCUCAUGACAUUAAUGCAACCGUUGUGGAUCUUCGAAUCACUGGUUCUAGAUUGUCAAGCUCCUUUAAAUUGUGAAUGCAUACAAAAAGGUAUGGAAAAUCAAUAUGAGGACAAGAACGUCAUCGUCAUGAUCGCGAAUAUCAAAGAUUCAGAUCCUGCUCUAGCUACCCAUGACUUUGAUGUCAUCGGCUAGACAUUGAUUUUCGUUCCAAGUUUUAAAGACAUUCCUGCUAAUGGUUUUCAUUUGAAAACACAUUGUGAGAAUGAACAAGAAUUCUUUUGUGUAUACCUCCUCAUGAAUGCGAACUGAAGCGCAUCUUGGAGAAAUUCAUGAGUCAAUCUAGUGAACUGUAUGUCACUACGAUUCGAAUAUCGAAUCCCAUGUUGUCGCCAUACAUGAUAUUUGGGACACCGACUCAUAUAGGCUUUAGUUUGACCAAAUUGGUCAACCUGGAAGAGAUAUAAUGGUCCAAAUUUUGAGAAAAUCUCAUGGACAUCCAUUCUUCCGCUCAAAACGAAGACAUUCGAGAUCUAGCAUCACCAUGAAGCAUGGUGGUGACCCGGGGGACAUUGAGGUCACCCGAACACGACUCCAACUUCCUGGAGGUCGUCCGGUCAAUUCCUCAAGCAAUUGAGGUGCACCGGCCUUUCCUCGAUGUCGCAUUGGCCCCCUGCAAUGCUCAUUCCUCGUUUUGAAAGCCUAUUCUUUAGCUAAAUAAGGAGUGAGACCCUCAUACGCUAAAUAACACAAAAGUGAACAUUCUAUUCUUACAUCAAAUUAUGUAGAUAAAUACAACCAACUUGCGGACACCUUUUAUGCUUUAUGGUGUUGGUUGAAGUGUUAACACACUGGUCACGUGUUACACUAUUAUCUACUGCUUAUGCUGCUUAUACUUCUACGGGCUCACUACCCAUUCUUUAAAGAAGUUCAUCGGGAUGUAAGUUGAAGUGUCCUGUACCCCAUGUUCACACGCAAUACGGUCUCACCGAGGCUACGACCAAGCAACUUUAGUUUGUCGCUCGAACAUUAUUGAUGCGCACCACUCUUUCUAUUGCGCCUUGGGGCUAUGCAAUAUUUGCAUGCAGCUUUACUAUUCAUCUACGACCCACCAUCAUUGAAUUUUGUUGUACUACAGCUCGUGACUGUGUACGAGGAUUGACACGAAAUUGCAAUCCUUGAGCUCUACAGGAUUGAAACGGAUCUCCAAUCCUUGAGCUCGGCUAGAUGUUAUUUCUAGGUGCCAAAUCGCAUUGCCACUGCGUACAAUGAUGGGUCAUUUGAGAUGAAUAAGUUUAGGUUGGAUAUGAACCUCCACCUAUAAUCCGCAUAUGUAGGAACCUUGUCAGGCGAUCUCAUUCACCGCUAAAUUGCGGGUUGUCACUUUGAUGAGACAAUAUUUCCGCCGUUAGGGGGAGAUAAGAACACAAGUGUUCAAGUGGAACGACGUGAAUUGUCGUGGUUUGUCCCCACUAAGUCUCAUCUUGAUCCCAAAUUCUUAUAGUGUUAAAGUGACGAGAUCACAUGCUGCAAAUAUGUCUGCAAGGAUUGAUGUCCUACAAAAGGACAUGGCGCGACCAAAAAGUGUUGGUCUUGACGCCAUCACCAUGGAUGGUGAUAUGGUGACGCCAUAUAGUGGCAAAAUUGGUGUCACAAGGCCGUGUGGCUCCCCAAAAGGAGGAAGGCCCUUAGGUUCGAUACUUUCUCGCACUAGGAAGAAAGCGAGCUUGGCACAACCUGAUCCAUUGAUCAGUGAUACUCAUAUCCGUCUCAUGAAGUCUGAAUUGUGAUUAUCGUUGGGGGACGCCUCAAUGUUAAAUCCAAUCCAUAUAGAGAUCUCUACAAAGUAUUACACUAGUGUACAUGAGGACGUGAGAUAAUGAGUCUACUAUCGAACCACCAUUCGUUGAUGGAUAUCAACUUAGUUGAUUGGCCCAAUGGAAAGAUACGAUCUAUCAUUAACAAAGAGAUAGGUCCUUGGGCAGGUGAUGCCGACACCGCAAGCUAAACCCUAUCAACUAUGCCUUUGUUAGAUAGCGUAGUGAGAGUAAGAGCUUAGACUCAACUAUGCCUUUGUUAGAUAGCGUAGUGAGAGUAAGAGCUUAGACUCACCUUAUGGCGCAAGGUCUUUCACUAACACGCACUGGGAUCAACUACGAUGAGAUAUGCUCUCGUAAUGGAUGUCAUUGAACUCCACUACUUUGUCAGUUUGGUAGUUUCCGAAUAACUCAACAAGCAGCCUAUGAAUGUGGUCAUAAUAACAUCUCUAUGGGAUCAGAGAUAUACAUGAAGAUCUUAAACGGACUUCAUUCAUCCGAAUCAAGUGGCUCCAAACCACAGGAGCAUGCGUUUGCUAAAUGUAUUGAAACACACAUGGACUCUACUUGAUUUGAAAGGGAUAUGGUGAAUUAUGCAUUUGCGUGUUCAUUCCGGAUUUACAUGGACUCUUGAUGGAUCAAGAGAUGCCAAUAUGUAUCAACAUCUGAAGAAAAAGAUCUUGGGAAGACACAGUCUCGAUAAGACACUCGAUGACUGUAUUGAUGAUGAUUUUCCAUCAAUCGGCUUAGGCACUUUAUAACUAAUGAGGCCUACAUAUACUCCCAUGAUUAGUCAAGGUCUUUUCUCUAAAGAGAGAUCCGUUGUUUUGUCUAAAGCAAUAUGACAAAUAUGUGUUAAGAGAUGGAGUUCCCAUCUAAGUACAAUAAGACGCAUCAAUGUACUCAACACAAUACGAAAGACUUGACAUCUCAUUCGCUAUGAAAAGUUGUAAAGCUAAGUGUAGCUAUGCGCCCACGCAACGCCAAUGUAAUGGCAGUAACUCCUUUUUCAAUACUUAAUGGUAUAAAAAGUUGAGGCUUAUUAUAUCCCUACAUAAGAAAGACACAUCAAAAGCGAAAUCAGAAUCUGCCAAGUUUUGUAGGUCAACUUCCACGGGACCUAUAGGAAAUCUCACUCUCUGGAAAAUGGUGAAAUUGGUACCAUUGGAAAGGUCUAUGUGUCUACUUUCCAGGAACACCAACCAUUUGAUCAUACCUAUCAUAUUGAGUGAGUUAUGGCCGUUUUCGUAAAGUAGGACGAAUCUGUCCGAGAAUCUGAUUUUGGCAAAACAGUCAACUUCGACGGGAAUGUUGUGAACAGCUCCUGAGGAACCAGAACGUAUGUAAUAUACGGUUGGAAAGCUAAAUGAGUCUAGUUUCCAAAACCGUUUACGGUUCGUUCAUAUGUAUUUCCUAGAGAAAGUUACAACUGUUCUAGUAAUUGAAGGUCAUGCUGCGCGGAAAUCUGAUUUCCUGCACGAACUUAUGUUUUGAGUUCACAAGCAACCUUCUCCUCAAGAUCUAAGUGUAAAAGAUCAUUUGAGGACAAUACGGCAUGAUUUAGUUAAUCAUUACCCAAUACCACAUUUGAAGACAUGUUAAAAAGCAUUGACAUGCUAAGUUGUUGAAACUUCCGUGAUUAGUAAGAAUCAGGAAGAGCCCUAUGAUUGAUGUAAAGAUCAGGGGGAGGUGCGAACUUCAGGGGGAGUCUAGCACAUACAUACAUGUCACUAUCAAAUGUGAAGGGUGCGUUGUACUCUNNNNNNNNNNNNNNNNNNNNGACGAGGUUUUGUACGAGGCAACAGAUCAGCACCAUCAGCAUAUCAGCGCGCGACACAAGGGGGAGUGUUCUAGGAUAUUCUCUAUGUGUGCCUUGGCCUUUUGCCAAUAGGAUAUAUAGUUAGACUAGAUCUAUGUAUUCAUAUCCUUACCAUAUUGGUAUUGUGUAAUUCCCUAUAUAAAGGGCUCAUAUCAAUGAAUAAGAUGAUGACUCUCUUGCUAUCUCUUUGUCUCUACACUUUAUCUUUCAUCAUUUAGUGGGUUAUACGCAACAUUCUUACUAAUGUUGUGAACUUUAGUCAUUAUAACCACAACAUUCCUAUUAAUGUGGUAUAACUUGUUUAGUGGGUUAUAUGCAAGUGUACAUUUUUAUAAACCAACUAUAUCUUGAUGAUAAAAUUUUAAAAAAUUGACCGUAGGAUGUGAUCGGUAUAGUGAAACACAGCUAUGGUGGAAAAUUCAAUCAUUUUCAAUAAUAUUUAAACCCCGAUCAAGGUGGUCAACUCUUUCUAUGCUUAUGGGGAACUUUAUCUUCGAGAUUUAAAUUUACCUAAAUUUUUAUAUGGGCUGCUACAUAUCAUCUAUGUGAGUGUGUAGGUCGACGAAUCGACCAAAUUAAGUAAUGAAAAGAUAUGUAAGAACGUUUUCGUGUAAUAAGUGAUAUAUUUUUAUAGUUGACCGUGUCGAUCGAGACCCAAACUUUAUCAAAAAUAAGUGAAAAUUUUUCUAUAUCCAAAUUUAAGUAUACUUAUCAUUUUUAGAGUCUAGGAAUUUUCAGAGAUUUUUUCUGGUAUCGGAUCUAUUUUAUAGGGAAAAAUAUACAUUUCAAAAUGAACAAGGUGGAGGAAAAAUAAUUUGACAAAUGCAACACAAAGAGUUGAUAUAAAAUUUCAGAUAUAUUAUGGAAUGAUAUUUCAAGAGUUUAAUAAAGGUAGAAAGUGAGGGCGUGCUUAUUGUAAUAAAUUGGUGUAGGAAAACAUGAUGUGAUUGCAACUUUGACCAAACCAUAUAAUGACAUAGUAAAACUGUAAAAGUAAUGAGCUGUUAAUAUAAUUCACGUGCCCUUGAUAACUGAUCUUUACCACCAAUUUUCAGAUCCCAACUUUCAUUCGAGUCACCUGCAAAUCUAUUCUAACCCCCAAUUUUCGUUAACCCAGUGCCCUAGCUGUAAAUUCCCAUACAUAUUGUAAGUUUAGAGAAAGCCAAUUUGAUCUGAAACUUUGAUCGGAGGCGUUUAGUCGUUGGCCGCCCAGCUCCGCCUUGGCCGUGGCCGAUUGGCCGCCCCAAGAUCAUAUUGAUUUGCUGGUAUAUAUUAUUGGAUUCGAUUGGGUUUUGACGAUUUGUGUUUUUGGGUUUUCGAUACUUUCUGGGUUCAUCUGUGAGAUAACCUGGAGGCUGGAGCAUGAGGAUUUGUCCAUUGAAUUUCAUUAUUUCAUUCAGACUUCUGAUCAACAACCCACGCAACGAUGAGAGAGCCUGGACCAUCACUACCACCAGAUGAGCUCAAUUUGCUUUCUGGGUUUGAUGCCCUCCUACAGCCGCGGUAGAAAGGCCGAACGUCGCUUUUUUUGUGUGUGACUGUUUGCGCGUGCGCUCCACGCGCCGUUAAUUGGUCUGUUGGUGACCCGUAACCCUGUGGAGGGAAGAACCUCUGUUUCCGAAGCGGCAUAAAACGAAAAGGAAACAUCAAUCACUACCUCCAUCGCUUCUGCCAGAUCCGCCCCUUGCCGGAAUAUUCUGUCGGAUUCCAGCAACUUGCCGGAAUUUCGCCAUGACCUUCCUAUAAUGCACAAGCAAAACCAACAACUGUAGUUAUUCCCAGAUUAACAACACAGUAUCAUCUUAACCCAAUGAACAUACGUUUUACCUUCAGAUUGAACAGAACAAAGUCUAGAAACUUGUCCCAUGCUAGGAACAACUGCAGCAACGCCUUUGUUGUCCAAAACAACACAGCAGCAACGCCUCUGUUUUCCGAAACAACACAGCAGCUGCCUCCAAGCUCGUCUGGUAGGUAGCUAGGCUCGCUGAUGCCCGAAAAAGCUUCGGAAUAAACCAAAGACUCGAACCCUAGCCGGAAAAACUCCAGCUCAAGCUCGUCAGAAGACCCAGAAAAAGAUCGAAUUUAUGGACUUCUGAUCAAAGGCUCAAAUCAAAGAAUUAAAGUCAGAGGAAGGGAGAAGAAGGAAAGAGGAGAAGAACCCUACCCUUCUCUAUCGCCGUCGCCGCCGGAGCUUGCCGGAAAAGAUGAACAUAGCCGUGCUUUAGCUUGUUCGAUCUCCCUCUAAUCUGGUUUGUUUGAGUGAUUUGCUUUGGGGGUUUAAUAGAGAAUGAGAAGAGAAAGAAAUUGGUGAUGGUCUCACUAGCUGGGGUGGUCGGAGACAGCGGCAUCGUGCGGAGGACGCCAGAGGCAGGCGGAGAGGGAGAGAGAGAGGGCUGGGCUCGGGUCAACGCCCGAGUGUGGGUUUAAAAGAAUCAACCCAUCUCUUUUCAUUUUAUGCUUAAUCCAACGGCCAAGAUCAAAACCCUAAUUGAUCCAACGACCCAGAUUAAAAGUUACAUUCUUAUUUCAGAAAAUUAAUUUUUUUUUACCAAACUUCGAUAAAUCGUAAAAAUAACCCAAAGCUCUGCAAAAUAUUCCGAAGAUACCGGUGAACUCAUGUCAACGCGUACUACGACAUCAGGAUCUUAAAAGAAGAAUUUUAACAUAUCGAGUAAAAUUCAAAAAUAUACUUAAACGUUAACUUACUAGAUUACCGUGCACGGUUAAAUUCUUCAGUAAAUCGUAAAAAACCCGAAAAAUAAGUAAAAUUAGGUACGGGGCGUGACAAGAUUAUUAUUAAAUGUAUUACAAUUUUAUUUACACUACAAAAGAUAACUCUAGAAAUAAUUUUUUUUAAUUAAAUCUAAUAAUUUUACUCAAGUAACUACUAUUAAUAAUUUUGUAUUCAAUUCCUUUUAUUUUUUGGGUCCAUCUUGGCCCAAAGUUUACCCGCCCACGGGUCGGGUUUGGGCUUUAAAUAUUUUUACAGGGCCGGGCCUGCCCUGCCCAUUUUACCUGGGCUAAAAAACCACAGGGCUGGGUAGUAUAUGAGUCAUCAUACCUGCCCAUUUUACAGGCCUAUAUGUUACUAAUAACUCCAUCAAAAUAUUAAUAAAACAAUCAAAAGGACUUUGAUCGGGCUUUAUAAGGUCGGGUCGGGCGGGCUUUAAUGGGCAUGUAAUGGGCCGGGCCAAGGUUUUGAACUCUCCGCUCUAGCCCGGCCUCAUGCCCAAUGGGCCGAGUCAAGAUGGGCUUUUAAUGGGUCGGGUCGGGUCGGGCUGGGCAUUGGCCUUUUGGGCCGACGGGCCCCCCCGGGGCUUUUAGGCCCACGGGCCAAAUGGUGACCCAUAUCUUUGACCGAUCAUCCAAGUUGAGUUAAAAUAUGAUUUACUUAAAAUGUGUCAUAUUUUGACGCAACCAAAUAUGACCAAAACCUAUAAUUUAUAAGGGUGAGUGGGUGUGGGCCAGUGACAGAUUUUAUUAAUAUAAAAUAGUUAUCUAUGAUAUAAUAUGAUUAAUGUUGUAGGAAUAUUAUACAUAUGUGUGUCUUGGUCUAAUGCUAGUCAAAAAAAGAAUCACGAUUCCAGAUAGAGAUAGGAUAUCAAGAUAUGUUUCCUUAUACAACACCUUAUGGUGCUAUUUAAUCACAUAAGAUGAUGAUUCUCUAUUUGUUUUUUACUAUCUAUCAUUCUCUCUAUAAUUCCUCCAGAAACACGUUAUCAGCACAACCUAAAAAGUUGGUCUUGGCGCCAUCACCACAGAUGGUGCACAGAUGGUGAUAUAGUGAGGCCAUAUAGUGGCAACUUGGUGUCACUUGCUAUGUGGCUUAAGGGUGGACUUUGUGAGACCUAAAAACCGGAAACCGGCCAUGACCGCACCACACCGACCCGAGGAAACCGAAACCGGACAAAACCGGCUGAUCGGUGCCAGAAACCGAACCGACUUUAUUUAAUUAAUGUAAAUAGUUAAUUAAUAUAUAUACGUCUCAUGAUUUUAAUGGCUGUAAAUAUGCCUACCAUAGGCCUGCACACACACGAUUCUCUUCUCUAACCCAAAUCUAAAAACCUAAAGUCUUUCUAUCCUUUUCUCUUCUCAGUCUCUAUUCUUCCGCCUCUCUUCUCUUCUCAAACCCAAAAACCUAGCAAACCCUCAUAACUCCUGCGACCUAACUCAAUCCUCCUACUCCAGCCUCCCACUCUCAGUCUCAUAACUCAAGCAUAACUCAAGGUAAUAUCUUAUUCUCUAGUCUCCUCAUUUCAUGGUUGUUGUAAUCUAGUCCAGAACAUUAUUUAAAGUAGGUUAUCAUCUUGUCACUGUCAUAUUUUAUUGUAGUUAUGGAAAAGUAACAUGAACAAACAGUAAUUUAACCUUCUAUAUGAAUCUAUUUGAUAUGUGUAUGUGUAUAAUGCAGAUUUCUGUAUAUGUGAUUUUGAACAGGGAGGGAUUUGUUGAGGGCAAGGAUCUCGUGAUGACUGUUAUGUCUGCAAUGGGAGACCUGUGCAAGACUUGUGUUAUUUUGUUAAACUUGAUGCUAUAUUAGUAGCCGUCUCUGAUGGCAAGACUGUCUUUUUAUUAAACUUGAUGUUAUAUCAGUAAUUGCUUCAGAUGGGAAGACCUGUGUUUUUUUUGUUUUCAUUAGUUGCUAGCAGGGACUUUUAUCCACCAUAUUUAUAUAUAUAUAUAUACAGGCUGGAUGUGAAGCGGACGUCCGCACUCGGCUUAAAGUGCGGACAUCCGUCCGUUCUCCACCCCAGAAGACUCCAGCAGCGUCCCCGACCACUUUCCCUCCCGGCGAAUCCGUUCUUUUCCAGUUUUCCGGCGAGAUCACCCAAAACUUCAAACAAAGUCGAUCUCGCUGGAAAACUGGAAAAAAAGGACUCGCCGGGGAGGGAAAGUGGUCGGGGACGUUGCUGGAGUCUUCUGGGGUGGAGGCGUGCCGUCGCCGGUGCCGGAGGGUGGAGAACGGACGGACGUCCGCACUUUAAGCCGAGUGCGGACGUCCGCUUCUCAUCUUCUUUGUGUGUGUAUAUAUAUAUAUAUAUCUGCAAUGAACCUUUAUUCAAAUGGUAUUUUAGUUAUGCUAACAAGAUGAUAUUUCUAUGUUUCCAUAACUUGAAGUAUUGAACUCUUUUCUUUUCUUUUCAUUUGUGAAAGUUAUUACGAAAAGUAGGUUAUGUAACCAAAACCGCACCGAAUUUUGGUUAACCGACGGGUGCGGUCUUUUAUAUGUAUUUUGCGGUUUCGGUCUUGAGAAAUAGGUAACCGAGGAGUGCGGUCCGGUUUUCGGUUCUUGUUCUAAAACCGAACCGAUUGGACCGAGUCCACCCCUAGUGUGGCUCCCCAAAUGAAGGAGGGAGGCCCUUAGGUUCGAUACUUACUCGCAAAAAGAAGAAAACGAGCUUGACACAACAUGAUCCAUUGAUCAGUGAUACUCAUCCGUCACAUGAAGUUUGAAUUGUGAUUAUCAUUGGGGGUCGAUGCCUCAAUGUCAAAUCCAAUCUACAAGUAUUACACUAGCAUACAUGAGAACGUGGAAUAAUGAGUCUAUCGAACAACAUUUCGUUGAUAAAUCAACGAAGUAGAUUGGCCUAACGGAAAUAUGCGAUCCUUUUUAAACAAAUAAGGACAAGUUUUAACAAAUAUGGACAAAUUCUUAUAUGUCUGCCGUGUGUCAUGGUUUAAUUUACCAAACUGACCUUAUACAAAUUAAAUCAGAUCUCCCCAUGUAUCACUUAAGCUGCUACUGCACUUGCUGGAAUCUUGCUGCCGCUACUACACUUGCUGGAAUGUUAUUGCUACUACCGACUGGAAUGUUACUACUUAUUUGUUUAAUUUUCCAAUUCUGCUGCUGUUUGAAGGUUAAGACAAUAUCUCAUUGAAAAGUAAUUAUGCUACUGCUAUCUCCUCAAAUUCACUCGUCAAUUUAGUAAUUUAACCUAAUAAUUGAAAUUGGGAAUUAGAUGAAGCAAUGAUCUUAUUAAUGUCCUGGUCAUCAUAAUUGAUGGUGAAGCCUGUUGCUCCUCCUCAUCAGAGUGAUAACGUCGACAUCGACACCGCCAACAAUGGCAGCGUUAUACUCCACAUCCCAAUUGAAGAGCCCAUGGAUGAAUGUAAUUGAGUUUAAGUGAGUCAGGCAACUGUUGGAGAUUGAUCCCGACGAUGUUCUACGAUUAGGUCGGGUCGGGUCUCCAUCGAAUAUGGGCUAGCAGAUUGACACAAGUGGAGGCCAAUAGCAUCUGGACGGAAUUCUUAGAUACGGCUUAGUCAUCAGAGAGAGAGCGGUGAGAGAGAGAGAGGAGGGAGAGAGAGUCCAGAUUGAGGAGGGGAGGNNNNNNNNNNNNNNNNNNNNGUUUCAAAUCUUUUUGAAGAAUGUACAUGUAAUUUGUCUUUUUUUUUUUUGUUCUAAUAAUUGGGCACAAAUUAUGUCAUCUUACAUUCAAAUAGACAAUCUCUAGAGUAUUUGUUAGAAUGGGAAAUGAGGUGCCAAAAUUUGUAGUAAAUAAACACUAUAUUUUGAUUUCAAGACGGGCUACGAGUAAGUGAUAAUGGGUGACUGAAAUUAAGAACUUCCACAUGGAAAUAAAGAGAAAAUCUAACAUGUAUGGGAUGUUCAUGUAAAAUCAUCCCCCCAACCCCCCCCCCCCCAAACUUAUGAUGCAAGGAAAAUAAGAAAAUUAGAAGUUUAGACGGUGGAAGAAACUGAGAAAACCAGAUCGAGGAGCGAGAGGGGGUGUGAGAACAUAUCGAACGGAAGAGUAGUACUAUUGACUCUCUUGGAAUAAGCCAUAAUCUCAAAAAAUAGUUUUGGAUGACAAUCAGAGGAAUAGAUAGAAAUAUAUUAAACAGUAAAAGUGGAGCAUGGGAUGUAAGAUGAUAGAGAAAAUGGGAACACAAAACUUACUCCCAGAAAAAGGAAGAAAAAUUAAUAUACAUUCAUCUGACUUGAAUAACACAAGUUGUUUCUUUUUUCUUUGAAAGCCAAUAAGUUUUUCUGUUAAUUAGACACAAGAAAAAUGGUGCAUGUAUGCAGAGUUGCCCUCAGAGAAUCUAUCUGUUAUCUUGUGAUGCUUUGCGUCAGUCACAUGCUCGAGAACAACGUUCAAAUAUACAUCAAAGGUUAAGAAUAUAUCAUUAGAUAGUCCAUUAUGUAAUUGUGUAAUGCCCUCAUUCUAUAAAACCACUAGCUAAAAGAAAAGAAUGACGAACAUGAAAAAAAAUUAUGUUAAGACUAGAGUCAACUGAAUCUCCUACAUGCACCAGAAGGAACUAAUGUUUAAGACUAUCCCAGACAUUAAAAUCAGUACUUGAGCUGUUGUAGUCUAUGACACUGUCUUGGCACCCUAUAAAGUAUGCCGUCCGUACCGGAUCUAUGUUUAUUAUAGCAUGGGCAGUUCCGCUUCGACUAGCUGCAACAGCAACCUCAUCUGCACCAAUUGUGACUUCAGCAUAACCUUUAUCAUCUACCUUACUGUUCUCCAGCUUCAAAUAUUCACAGCCAAAAGAGUAAAUACAUAUAAAGCAAGAACAUAUAACAUGACUUAAAAGAUCAUAUUCAUAUGAGUUACAUAUCCGUAGCUUUAAAUAUUAAAUAUGGAACCAUAAAAAAGAAUCCAACUAUACCAACGAUAGGCCAUAAAGUUAGUUAAAUGUUAAUCUUGAAUUUGCAAAUGCUAUUUGAAAGUUAACUCCAGGGAAACGGAAAUCCCAACCUUUGAAAAUCAACUUCCAUUCAGUGGUUAAAACAUUAAAAUAUGGGUUGAGUAAUUUGGUGAUAUUCCAAACUUCAGGAUUCAGGAUACAGAUAUUUGGAGAAGAAUGCAACUAAACAGCUACCGAAAAAAACAUGCGAAGACAAAAGUCUUUGUUUAAUGGAAUACAUCAACUGGUUUUGAGAAAUAUCCACUUUGUUUAAUGGAAUACAUCAACUGGUUUUGAGAAAUAUCCAUAUCCUGUAGAGAAUCAAUAGUUUCCACUGAUAUUUUCAUGCUUAAUGUCUCUUAAGCCGGCAAUUAUCUGGGCUAGUAAGCAGAGCUCCAUAGUACUGAGAAAACGUAAAAUACAUACCUAUAACUGAAUGUAAAUGUAACUCCUAUACAUGUUUAGAUUUCAGAGUUGGGCAACAGUAUUGAUGCAAGCAAAUCAGUGUAGGCAUUUCAGUGUUCUGCCAUUCACUAGUUUUGAACAACAAAUUUACUGUAGAUUCUAGAACCUGUGAAAUGAUUUCCACCAUAAAACAGUGGACGAGAAUAUAGAAAGCGCUCUGACUUCUAAAUUAAAUGCCAGUUAUACCCUAAAGUUUCACAUUGUUGUUGUUGUAUGGGUGGAUCGGGUGCAGUAAUUUAGCACUUCGAUACUUCAACUAAAUUACGGAAUCUUCCAAAUAAAUUAUGGUGAUUGCCAAAAUGCAUGAACCUACUAUAGCUAAGGAAUUCAGUCAGUAUGCAUAACAUUGAAGGCUGUAUCGAAGUGAGAGCUUACCCUAAACCUUGUUUCUGCUCCCCAUAUGACAAAUGUUUCAUUACAAGAAUGGUGUCUGUGGUUUCCCCUUAAACCUCCAGGCCGGACUUCUCCAAGAUGGACUGAAGCACAAAUAACAGCUCCACCUGCGUAAAGUUAAAUACAGUUAAAGAGUGUAUCAGAUGAUGCAAACAAAUCGAGUAUUGGGCAAAUUUUGAAUUGAAAAUCCAAUGAAAAAUUACAAACAAGAGAUACCAGAAAUGCCAUAGUGUUGGGCAAGGGAAAUGGGGUCGAGCAACCAUCCCCUCUUAUCUUUUGCAAUCUGAGAAGGGAACCCAGAACCGAAUCUAACGAGAUUGGCUUUGCCGUCGUCCUUGAUAUUCUUUUCUAAUGGUUUACUGAGAUUAGGAGAAUGAAGAGAGGACGAGUGCUGGAGCCUCAGAGAGACCCAUGUAAGCAAAAGGAAGAUUGAGAGCAGAAAAGGCAAGGCAUGGGGCUUCUUCAGAAAGAGUACUAGUGAUGACCAUGAAACGCUUAGAUUUAGGCUUAAACUUCGGCUUUGGAUGUGGAAUGGGUUUUCUGAGCUCUGGCUGUUCCUUCUAGGGUUUGCCAUCACUUCCUCCCUCUAUCUCGUCAAAUUUGCAUUCUCAGCUUCAUCUGGGCCAGUUUGUGCCUUUCUGUCCGUAUCCUAGUAUUCUAUAUGUUCGGAGCGCCUUACUUUUAUUAAGGGCGCCCUUUUUUUUGGUUCAAUCGGUAAAUUUUUUUUUUUUUUUUUUUUAACAUGAGGUUUAUUAAGAGAAAUUUUAAAUACACACCCCUAAUAUCUUAAUACACAUCAUUUAGUUAAUACACCACUUAUCAAAUUUUUUAUUUCAAUAUUAUACUUAAUACACGUCCCAAACUGCCUAAAAUACCCUUAAUUUAUGAAAUAUUCCGUUAUUUAUAUAAUUAAUAUAUAUUUACUAUUUGGUACCUCUUUUUACAUAUUAUUUCGUCUAAUUUUUGCUAUCAUCGUUCAAUUUAUAAUCAAAUUAUAUUAUUGUUAUAUCCCAACUCCAAAUCACCAAUACAAGUUUUUAAAAAUUCAAAAGCUAGUACAACUGUAGAAGUAUAGUAGCUAUUAAACAUAGAUAGCUAGUUAUUCGAUAAAACAUGUCAUGAUAAAGAUGCAGUACUUAACAAUAUGAUCUACAAGAUCAAAUUAAAGCUAAUAAAGAUGCAGUAUUUGACAAUAUGAUCUGUAAGAUCAAACUAAAGCUAAUACGGAUAACAAAAAAAAAAAAAAAGACAACCCAAAUGAAUUGUGGAAAAGAAUUGAGGUUAAGGAAGAAGACGUGCUUUCAACGAUUUUAGGGUAGAAGACAUUGGAAAGAAUACUUCAAGCGCGAUUUUUUUUUUUAAUAAUAGAUGUAUGUUUUGGUCAUUUAGCUUACUUAUAAAAUCUCAAUAGAAACAUAAAAUAAUAGGGGUGUGUAUUUAAAAGUUCUCCUUUAUUAAACACAGCAAAAAGCUGCAUAAAGAGAAACAACAAAACUGAACAUCUAAGCAAAACAGAACAACAAAACAAAUAUAUGAGUCUAAAUCUAGAGGUGGAGCUGGCAAGCCAUCUAAUCUCAGCACAUGUUGCAAAGAUAAUGGAGGGUGAUUGAUCCAAUCUCCCAAAUACAUCCCCUUUUUAGCUUGCCUGGCAAGCCACUUCCCCGCAGCGUUUCUAAAUCUCUUAACCAAACUCCACAUACAACUUAACAGGCCAAUCUUCAAUCUCUUGAUGUCCACAAGAAGAGGGUAAAUGCUCCAACUGAUUUGAGAAGAAUUCUUCACCACUGCAUUAUACAGCUGUUCAUAAUCCAAUUCAAUACACAUUGUUGUAGCAUUCAUACUCUUAGCUAAGAUCAAACCCUCCUUAACAGCAAAAGCUUCGGCAUGCAAAGCAGAGGAAGAAUAGCAAGAUUUAGCACAACCAUUGAUUACAGCACCACUGGAAUUUCUUGCAAUUACUCCAAUUCUUGCAAGAUUACUAUAAGCAUCCCAGGCACCAUCACAAUUGAUCUUAAUAUUCAAGCCUAGGGGAGCACUCCACAUAUCAGGCCCAUCCUUCAUUUUACAUUUUUCUUCCACACCAACUUGAGGAGGAUGGUCAGUAAUCCCAGAAAACUCGGCAACAACAUACUUCACACUUUCAAUUACUCCCCAAGCAUUUGGAUCUCUAUGCUCAUAUAAAAAAGUACACAUUUCCUUCCAAAUAUUCCAUAAUGCAAAGGAAACCCAGCAAGAUAAUAUUUCCCAUGCUCUACUAUUCUGCUUCAAUAGACCACAAACACCAUAAAACCAAUCAUCAAAUGUUGUUAUUAAAGCAGGGUCAACCUUGUAAGAAAUGGGCAAUCUAAACCAAACUCCAGCUGUCCAAGAACACUGCAAUAGAAGAUGUUCUAUUGACUCUUCAUAUAAUAAACAAAAAGGACACAUAGGAGAUGGAGCAAUUCUCUUAGAGAACAAAUUUUUCAUUGUAGGUAGAGAAUUAGUGCACACUCUCCAGAGAAAAUGCUUAACUUUAGGUAAUGUAAGAGAUGACCAAAUAAACUUCCAAACUUCAGGCUUGAUAAUAUGAGAGGAAUCCAUAGAUUGAAGUGAAGGGGAAUUCCUACUAGCAUGUUGCAUAUCAUAACCAGAACGAACUUUGUACUCACCAUUUUUCUCCAUAGGCCAAAUGAGACGAUCAUGCUCCCAAGUAUCAGAAAUAGGAAUUGAUCGAAUGGCAGUGACUUCCUCCGAAGAAAGGUGAUGGAUGAUUGGAGAAAGAUUCCAAACAUAUUGAUUCCAAUCAAUUAGAUCAGCCACCUUCUGAUAAGGAUCAAACUCGCCAGCAUCUAAAUAGGAGGCACCUAGCUUGCAUCCAAGAAUACAUGGAAUCCACCUAUCCUUCCAAGUAUUAAUUGACUCACCAUUGAGAACCUGCCAUAAACAAUUAUUGCCAAGUAACUUCCUGCCCUCCAAAAUACUACUCCAAGCCCAUUAGGCCUUAGAACCUUUAGAGGCAGACAAGAAAUUAGAAUUAGGAAAUACAAGCCUUUUAAAAUUUGAACCCAUAAAGCAUUCGGCUGAUGAAUAAUUCUCCAGCCAACUUUAGCCAACAAUGCAAGAUUAAAGUAUUUCAAACAUCUGAACCCCAUUCCACCUUCAUUCUUAGGUAAUCGCAAUUUCUCCCAACUCAACCAAUGAAUCCUUUCACCCACAUCAGAUUGCCCCCACAAAAAAUUUGAAAUCACAUAAUCGAUUUCCUUACACAACCCAUCAGAGAAUAGAAAAACAGCCAUUGGAUAAGUAAGAAUUGCAAAAAUCACAGACUUAAUAAGAACCUCUCUACUAGCUUGAGUUAAAUGCAAUUGUUUCCAUCCUUGAAUCUUCUCAGAUAUUCUCCCCUUCACAUAUGCUAGUGCCUACUUCUUGGACCUACCCCACAUAGUAAGCAACCCAAAUACUUCCCGGGGUCAUUAGAACCAGGAAUGCCUAAGACACCACUAAUACCCAUCUGAAGAUCAAGAGGAGUGUUGUGAAAUCCCGAACUUUCUGUAAAUAAUUUAUCUAGACUAUAUAUGAUUUAUUUAUUUAUAUAUAGAUGUACAUGUGAGUACCUGUUCGUUUUAGCAACAAAUGUCACACCCCGGUUCUUAAGUUAUUUUACGGUUAUUUACUUUGGUAUUAUUUUGGUCUUUUACCGUGUUGAGUAACCGUUUACUACUUAAGGACCCUAAAGUUGACUUUCUAUUCCGUUUGGAAUUUGGGGAAACUUUCUUCAUGAAAGUCAUAGAGGACGUUAUUAAUUACGAGUUUGUAGACAUGCUAUGUGUUAAAAUCAGAGUUAACAUGAAAAAGUUAUAAAUUAAGAGAGUAAAUUAUUUGAGUUGGUAAAACGGGGUAAAAAUUUAGUGGGUAUUUUUCUUAGGUUUAAGUGUUGGACCGGGUGUGGGGCAGUCCAACACCCCUCACUCCCUCACUCACUCUCACUGUCACAUCCCGACCCUUAUAUUUUUACCUUAUUUACUAGCGUGAUUAUAAUAAGAAUUUUACCGUCUCGAUCAUUGAGUAAAUAGUUUAAUUGGUCCCUAGAGGGGUUUCGGGGACAAUUAUGUGCGGAGGAUUAUUCGUAUGAGGAAAAUACGACGACGGUAAAAAUGAUAAAUUUUAGCUAGUAAAAUGUAAUUUUUAUUCGGGUAUUAUUUUUCGGGGUGUUUUUAUUUUGGAAGAUUGGGUUAUAAGUGGUGUGGACCGGUUUGGGCCAAGCCCAUACAUUUCUCUCCCCUCACUUCUCUCUUUUCCUCUCGAUUCUCUCUCCUCCCACCCGAUUUUCUCCUCCCUCCGCCCGGAAACUUCACCACCGCCGUCCGCCGCCGUCCGGCCACCACCGACCGCCAGACUGGUCCCGUUCGGACCCUUGCCUCUUCCUCUCUCAUCCUGGACCGGUGCACGCGCGCGGAACGCCGCCGUGAAGGAGCGGUCAACCCCGAAAGGUUCGACUGCCGGAAAGGGUUUUUCGCCAGAGCUCCGUCUUCCAGCCAUCAUAGGUCGUGAUUUUUGGCUCAACUUGUAGCCCUCAUCUAGGUGAGUAAUCCCUCAAAAGGUUUCGGCUAAAUUCGAUUUCGUUAGGGUGGUUUGUAUGAUUGAAAGUUUUAAGGAUUUAUGGAUGUUUUUAGUCGAUUGCCCUAGUUAGGCUUGGAAUUGGUGUUUGUGCUAGUUAUGAAAGUUGUAGAGCUUGAUGAGAGGAUUAUUCUGUCAAAAUUUCAUAGGUUUUGGAGGUCGCCGGAAUUGGCCUCCGGCCGCCGCCGGUUAGGAGAUUUUUAGGGUUUUAAGUGUGGAAUAUUAAGAGGAGUAUAUUGAUGUGAUUUAUGGAAUUUUUGGAUGAGAUUUGGAUAGGUUUGUGAAUUUCCGAAGUUUGGUAUUUUUGGCGGUUAAUUAAUGUAGAAUCCGGCCGUAGGAUUUAAGUCGUAUUUUGGAGAGGUUGUAUUUACGACUGAUGAGUAUGAUAUUUAAGUUCGGAUCAUUCCGAUUUAAGAAUAUCGAAGUUAGGCAAUGAUGAGCGUAUUUAUGGCUCUCGGGUAAUUUUGCCUAUUUUGAUUAAAUAUUGGAUUAUUGGUUGGGAAAUUAAUUUUAUAUUUGGAACAGGACGUGAGGAGGCUCGAGCAGACGAGACCCCAGAUCGACAUCAGGCUUAGGCCUAAUUUGUGAGUGGACGUUUAUUUUAAAUAAAUGCACGCUAUAGUUCAUGGUUGAACAAUUAAUGUCGUGGAGUAUCUUUGACGUCAUUUUAAUUUUUGACGAUUUUUAUUUCUCUUGGAGAGAUACCGAAAAUGGGAUUUUCGGUGGAUAUAAAUAUGUAUUUAUGAGAGAGUAUGUAUAGAAAAUGCUAGCUAGCCAUAUGUGUCUGUCCACCUUAAUGGCGUAGCUUAUAGCCGCAUUAUGGUGUGACGUGAGCGUUGGACGUCAGCGUAGUAGCCCUAUUUGAGUGUUUAAUUCAUAUAGGGGUAUGGACACAUAUUUAUACACCCGUCUGUCCACCUUGAUGGCGUAGUGUAGCACCGCAUUAAGGCGUGACGUGAGCGUUGGACGCGAGCGUAGUAGCCCUAUAUAGACCCAUGAAUUUAUAUAGGGAGUAUGGACGAGUGUAAAUACAUACAUAUAUUAUAGAGUCUGAGAGGCUCGAUAUUUUAUGGGAUAAAAGUUUUAUCGCUUGCGGCAUGCAUUCGAUUUUUCCUUA